CUACGUGCCAGCAGCCGCGGUAAUACGUAAGGGGCGAGCGUUGUUCGGAAUUAUUGGGCGUAAAGGGCAUGUAGGCGGUUAUGUAAGCCUGAUGUGAAAUCUACGAGCUUAACUCGUAAACUGCAUUGGGUACUGCGUGACUUGAAUCAUAGAGGGGGAACUGGAAUUCCAAGUGUAGGGGUGGAAUCUGUAGAUAUUUGGAAGAACACCGGUGGCGAAGGCGGGUUUCUAGCUAAUGAUUGACGCUGAUAUGCGAAGGUGCGGGGAGCAAACAGGAUUAGAUACCCUGGUAGUCCGCACAGUAAACUAUGUACACUAGGUGUCGGGGUAGAACUCGGUGCUGGAAGCAAACGCGAUAAGUGUACCGCCUGGGGAGUAUGCCCGCAAGGGUGAAACUCAAAGGAAUUGACGGGGGCCCACACAAGCGGUGGAGCAUGUGGUUUAAUUCGAUGAUACGCGAGGAACCUUACCUGGGUUUGACAUCAAGAGGGAUACUAUAGAGAUAUGGUAG
This 511-nucleotide ribosomal RNA is filed under the name uncultured bacterium. RNAcentral describes it as "bacterial SSU rRNA". It matches the Rfam family "Bacterial small subunit ribosomal RNA", at positions 501 to 1014 of the family's 1533-position model. The record is from RNAcentral.